This 484-nucleotide ribosomal RNA is filed under the name uncultured bacterium. RNAcentral's name for it is "partial 16S ribosomal RNA". It matches the Rfam family "Bacterial small subunit ribosomal RNA", at positions 30 to 507 of the family's 1533-position model. The record is from RNAcentral.
AUUGAACGCUGGCGGCAGGCCUAACACAUGCAAGUCGAGCGGAUGAAGGGAGCUUGCUCCUGGAUUCAGCGGCGGACGGGUGAGUAAUGCCUAGGAAUCUGCCUGGUAGUGGGGGAUAACGUCCGGAAACGGGCGCUAAUACCGCAUACGUCCUGAGGGAGAAAGUGGGGGAUCUUCGGACCUCACGCUAUCAGAUGAGCCUAGGUCGGAUUAGCUAGUUGGUGGGGUAAAGGCCUACCAAGGCGACGAUCCGUAACUGGUCUGAGAGGAUGAUCAGUCAAACUGGAACUGAGACACGGUCCAGAAUCCUACGGGAGGCAGCAGUGGGGAAUAUUGGACAAUGGGCGAAAGCAUGAUCCAGACAUGACGCGUGUGUGAAGAAGGGAUUCGGAUUGUAAAGAACUUUAAGUUGGGAGGAAGGGCAGUAAGUUAAUACCUUGCUGUUUUGACGUUACCAACAGAAUAAGCACCGGCUAACUUCGUG